RNAcentral lists this ribosomal RNA (557 nucleotides) under Klebsiella pneumoniae. RNAcentral describes it as "bacterial LSU rRNA". It matches the Rfam family "Bacterial large subunit ribosomal RNA", at positions 2386 to 2925 of the family's 2925-position model. The record is from RNAcentral. Lineage: Bacteria; Pseudomonadati; Pseudomonadota; Gammaproteobacteria; Enterobacterales; Enterobacteriaceae.
GGCGCGAGCAGGUGCGAAAGCAGGUCAUAGUGAUCCGGUGGUUCUGAAUGGAAGGGCCAUCGCUCAACGGAUAAAAGGUACUCCGGGGAUAACAGGCUGAUACCGCCCAAGAGUUCAUAUCGACGGCGGUGUUUGGCACCUCGAUGUCGGCUCAUCACAUCCUGGGGCUGAAGUAGGUCCCAAGGGUAUGGCUGUUCGCCAUUUAAAGUGGUACGCGAGCUGGGUUUAGAACGUCGUGAGACAGUUCGGUCCCUAUCUGCCGUGGGCGCUGGAGAAUUGAGGGGGGCUGCUCCUAGUACGAGAGGACCGGAGUGGACGCAUCACUGGUGUUCGGGUUGUCAUGCCAAUGGCACUGCCCGGUAGCUAAAUGCGGAAGAGAUAAGUGCUGAAAGCAUCUAAGCACGAAACUUGCCCCGAGAUGAGUUCUCCCUGAGACUAUAAGUCUCCUGAAGGAACGUUAAAGACGAUGACGUUGAUAGGCCGGGUGUGUAAGCGCAGCGAUGCGUUGAGCUAACCGGUACUAAUGAACCGUGAGGCUUAACCUUACAACGCCGAAG